Long non-coding RNA from Gekko japonicus, 197 nucleotides. RefSeq lists it as uncharacterized. The record is from RefSeq and is a predicted model, not a curated record. Lineage: Eukaryota; Metazoa; Chordata; Lepidosauria; Squamata; Gekkonidae. The transcript has 3 exons.
AUACAAGGGACCUAGGAAUGCGUGGAUCCCGAAAGUUCAACUCCACAGAAAGAGUCAUGCUAUAUUAUAUGGAGCCCAUUCUCAAUAACACCAGCAUCGGGCCCGCAUUCAUUCGGUGCCAAGUGGAGAACUUUCGGGCCGCACAGACCGGAAAUGGUGUGACUAUGAACGCUGUCUGCAACUACCAGAAAGAUCUU